RNAcentral lists this ribosomal RNA (497 nucleotides) under uncultured bacterium. RNAcentral's name for it is "partial 16S ribosomal RNA". It matches the Rfam family "Bacterial small subunit ribosomal RNA", at positions 28 to 523 of the family's 1533-position model. The record is from RNAcentral.
GAUGAACGCUGGCGGCGUGUUUAACACAUGCAAGUCGAACGAAGCACCUUAUUCUGAUUUCUUCGGAAUGAAAAAUUUGGUGACUGAGUGGCGGACGGGUGAGUAACGCGUGGGUAACCUGCCUCAUACAGGGGGAUAACAGUUAGAAAUGACUGCUAAUACCGCAUAAGACCACAGCACCGCAUGGUGCAGGGGUAAAAACUCCGGUGGUAUUAGAUGGACCCGCGUCUGGUUAGGUAGUUGGUGGGGUAACGGCCUACCAACCCGACGAUCAGUAGCCGACCUGAGAGGGUGACCGGCCAACAUGGGACUGAGACACGGCCCAAACGCCUACGGGAGGCAGCAGUGGGGAAUAUUGCACAAUGGGGGAAACCCAGAUGCAGCGACGCCGCGUGAGCGAUGAAGUAUUGCGGUAUGUAAAGCUCUAUCAGCAGGGAAGAAAAUGACGGUACCUGACUAAGAAGCACCGGCUAAAUACGUGCCAGCCGCCGCAGUAA